GGGAGGGGAGGCGGGGAGGAAGGGCCCUGGACCCAGCCCUGUGCUCCUAGAAGAGAGGGGCAGCCCUCUUCCCUCGGAGGCCUGUGUGGAGGCCCGGCCUCAGCCUUGGGCCUCCACAGCUCCCCACCCAGUCGGGAGCCCCUGGGACCAGGCUGUGGUCCCAGAGCUGAGGCCGAAGGUGCCCAGCUAUCUCAGCCCGUCCUUGUUGGAACGUCGACAUUUUGUGCCCCGGGGGUUUCUUGCUGACUCUCCAGAGGCGGUGUGAAGAGGUCUGCCCCCCUCCCCCGAGCUGGGCGCAGUGCCCGUCCAGCCUGGGCGAGGCCCUGGUUCCACCCCCAGCAACAAGACAACCGUAAGAGUCAACAGUGGGCACGACCUCGAUCUCGCCUCCUGAGGAGGCUGAGGCAGGAGGACGGCAAGGUCGAGGCCAGCAGGGCCACCGAGGGAGACCCUGUGUCAAAGUGAGAAAGACUGGCGGUGCCACCCAGCGGGAGCAGCCUGGCCGGAUGCAGGAGGCACGCAUGACGACGACGAUGACAGGACUUCCCUCAAAGGGAGCUCCAAGGGCACCCUCCCUGCGGAUCCCGGAUCCGUUUGUGCCAGCCCCAUGCCGGGCGAGGGUUGGCAGAUGCCCUGAGGAGACCGACCCCAGCCAGGCCAGAGCAGAGGGAGGGGAGCAAGGAUGUGCCCGCUCUGAGCUCGGGAAACUCCACCCUCCUCCACUGGCUCCGGAAACUUCUGCUCCAGUGGGAAAGGACUGCUGUUAGGCUCAGGCCACUGGGGCCUCGAGCUCCUCUUCUAUAACACGGACUCGGUGACGCUACUGCUGGCCUCCCAGGAUCAGGACGAGUGGGGAGGUCACCAGGAAGCACCAGGUUGGUGGCAGUGGCUGGAGGACCCCCUGCCCCCAUCAGUCAUAGUCGCUCCCUACGGAGGCCGGGGGGAGCUGAGCAGGAGAACCACGUGCCACACCAGCGUGUCCUCGCUCCCACCCUGUCUCCUCCCUGCCUCUUCUCUGGAGGUGGGACUGGAAGGUGAGGCCUUCUGGGUUCAGAGAGAGACGAGCUCUGAGACCCAAGUCCCCAGCUGACCACCUCCUGUGUGGCACCGGGCAAGUCCUCAACCUCUCUGGGCCUCAUUUUCCCUGUCUGUCUAGCACCUUCCCCAGGAGCCCGUGCCAGGCUCCAGCGCAGGAUCUGGCCCCGUCAUCCUGGGUCUUCACCCAAGGGAGGCCACAGCUCGUGGCCCAGGAGGCUCCUACCAGAGGCCCUGGCCUCUCCGUGCCCCAGGCUCCCAGAGGACAGUCCCCCAGGCAAGUGUGCAAAGGCUGGGCCUCCCGGCCUCCCGGAGGACAGCCCGGGAUGGUUGAGAACUGGGGCGCCCACCGUCCUCGGAAGGUGAAGCACUACGGUGGCAGACCUGCAGCGUGGACGUGGCCAGCACCGAGGGGACAAGUUCUGGGGCCUGGACCCGGGGGACCCCACAGUCUCCCUAGUGAAGAAGUGACCGAGCAUCAGGGCACAUGGUCCUCCCGCUGCUCCGCGUGGACCUGGGAGCCUGCACUGACCCAUGGGGCCAGCAGCACACAGGACGGUCAGCAAAUGACCAGCAAGUGACCGGUGCUGCGGGGCCCGUGGGGGCCGCCUCUGCAGAUGGGGUCGAGCGCCUCCUGAGGGUGCCGGAGCGCCCCGGGGCGGCUCGCUGGGUCCCUCCUGGGCGAACGUCAGAUUCGGCAUUUGGGGUCCUCGUUCCUCCGCGGCAGUGGCCACGGGAGCUGCCCUGGGGAACACUUGUGUGGGACCCUUUAAAGGCAAAGGCAUCAAUCAAAGGCCACCACGUCUCCGUGCUCAGUCCCCAGGGUACAGCGUCCGCGCCCAGGACACAGGGGGCCCAGCCACAUCCACGUGCGUCUUCUGGGAAGUGAGGCUGGGGCCCGUGGCCGGGCACCGUGUGCGAGGCCCUGGGCUCCAUCCCCGGCACCCGGGAGGACUUCUGAGGCCGUGGCUGCCCUGGGCCUCGGCUCCUUGGCAGUUCUUACUGAGCACCUACUAUGUGCCCCGGACAACCUGUGGAGGCUGCCCGCGGCCCUCUGCGGGGAUCCAACCUGCUGCCUGCAGGACCCCAGCUCGGCUCUGGCCUCGGGGGCAGCUGCGCAGGAGCAAGAUGCACCCUCUCCUGCCACGGCCGCUGGGCUCGGCCCACUGCCAUCGUGAGGAUGUCACCUAGGGACUGGGCUCGAGGUGCUGAGGCCGGUGACCCUAUGAGCCGACCUGGAAAUGCGCUAUGGGGUGAUCGGGGCACCCGACAGCACCAGGUGGGCACCCCGAGUGCUGCUCCGGUCCUGCUGCGUGGCUCUCCCUGAGUGGCCGGCCCGGGUCGUCCUCUCCUGGUUAGAAAUCACGAGUCUCAACUGCGCGUCGGGCACAGGCCGGCGACCGCGCGAUCCGUGGCCAGGCUGGGCCAGCUCUUUGCUCCCCCGAGGCCGAGGCCGGUGGCCCUGGCUGGCGAGCUUCCCACAGUGCACUUCUCCCUCCCUCCAGAUGGGCUCCCGGUCAGCUGGGCUGGCCUUCUGCGGCUCCCUGAGGACCAUCCAGGGAAGGGCUUCCGGGGCAGGUGAGGAGAGGCUGUGUCACGAGGCCCGAGAAUGGCCAGUGCUGGGGUCAUCGUCCGUUUUCAAAGUGGUCGUGUGUGGAGGUCCUUUGGGCACCCACAGCUCCGACACGACGUCGGUGGACACUUUUAACACGCAGCCAGUGAGAGGGGAGUAAGCGGAGGCCCCGCUGGGAUCUCGUCGCACAUCUUCUCGGCCUCUGGUGAGGCUGGGCCUCUCACGUUCCUGCUGACCGCCUGCGCUCUGCCUUUUGUGAUGAGCCUUCUCACAUUUUGAUGUUUUCUGCCUUCUCCUUAUUGGACCUGCGCGGGUUUUUAAGGCUGUGACGACCCCCAGGCACCACCCCGUUACCACAGCUCAGAGCUCUCUUAACAGGGUCAAAACUGACUCUUGGAGGUUUUUAAAAAAAGUCCCUCUUAACGCACACAACACAGAGGGACAUGGAGUGUCAACAGGAACACUGUGUCCACGGCCCAGGUCUUCAUAAGGCGUGGUCAGGUGACUGAACAGCACAGAGGGACCGUUUUCAAACAGAGAACACGGAUUCAUUUCAAUUUCUGAGUCUAUGACAAUGAACAUCUUCAGGGCAUCCUUGCCUUUUCCAAGUUUAGGGAAGACUCUUGGGAGCUGGACAGUGCCGUCUGGGCCUGCCUUCGCCUGUGCCACGCAUGUCAAACGGCUUCGCCAGCCCAUGCCCACACUUACCUCUAAGCAGUUUUGAAAAUGCCCGUUUCACCACAUCCUCACCAGCAUGGGGUUUUAUCAGUUUAAACAUCUUUGCUGACUUUGAUGAGUGCCAGAGCACUGUGCGUUCUGAAUCUUGUCCCCCCUUCUCAGGCUCUUGUAGGGCUGGACCUUACACGUUGGCUGGUCAUUUUGCCUCCUGGGAAUAUCCCAGGGUGGGAGAAGGGCGAACCCAGUGUAAGGACGAGGGGACUCCUCCUCCCAUGCACGGUCCCUGGGCAUCUUUUGGGAACUGGCUCCCGUCCUCUUGCCCCUGGACGCCCAAGCUGGGGAUGGCCCUGUCCCCUGAGCACAGAGCUGCAGUAUUUGCAACCUGCUCACUCUUCCCACAGCCAGGCUGUCCCUGGGCUCGCCAGGGGCCCACCCAACAGACCGUACACGGCACCCUGUACUGUCCCGUCCGGUGGCGAGGGAAAGCGCAUGCUUGGAACAGACGCGGUUCUUGUCAAAUAUUUUCGAUCCAUGGUAGGUUGGGCCCGCUGCAGGGGC
RNAcentral lists this long non-coding RNA (3844 nucleotides) under Marmota monax (woodchuck). The record is from RNAcentral. Lineage: Eukaryota; Metazoa; Chordata; Mammalia; Rodentia; Sciuridae.